This 844-nucleotide ribosomal RNA is filed under the name uncultured Bacillota bacterium. RNAcentral describes it as "bacterial SSU rRNA". It matches the Rfam family "Bacterial small subunit ribosomal RNA", at positions 58 to 932 of the family's 1533-position model. The record is from RNAcentral. Lineage: Bacteria; Bacillati; Bacillota.
CAAGUCGCACGAGAAAGCGGGAGCAAUCUCGCAAGUACAGUGGCGUACGGGUGAGUAACACGUGGAUGAUCUACCUUUUAGUGGGGAAUAACGCUGGGAAACCGGCGCUAAUACCGCAUAAGCUCGAGAGAGGAAAGCAGCAAUGCGCUGAAAGAGGAGUCCGCGGCCGAUUAGCUAGUUGGGAGGGUAAAAGCCUACCAAGGCAUAGAUCGGUAGCCGGCCUGAGAGGGCACACGGCCACACUGGCACUGAAACACGGGCCAGACUCCUACGGGAGGCAGCAGUGGGGAAUCUUGCACAAUGGGGGCAACCCUGAUGCAGCGACGCCGCGUGAGCGAUGAAGCCCUUCGGGGUGUAAAGCUCUUUCGUCAGGGACGAUAAUGACGGUACCUGGAGAAGCAGCUGCGGCUAACUACGUGCCAGCAGCCGCGGUAAUACGUAGGCAGCGAGCGUUGUUCGGAGUUACUGGGCGUAAAGGGUGUGUAGGCGGUUUUCUAAGUUUGGUGUGAAAUCUCCCGGCUCAACCGGGAGGGUGCGCCGAAAACUGGGAGACUAGAGUGCGGGAUGGGAGAGUAGAAUUCCUGGUGUAGCGGUGAAAUGCGUAGAUAUCAGGAGGAAUACCGGUGGUGUAGACGGCUCUCUGGACCGCCACUGACGCUGAGACACGAAAGCGUGGGUAGCAAACAGGAUUAGAUACCCUGGUAGUCCACGCCCUAAACGAUGCAUAUUUGGUGUAGGUCAUUCAGUUGAUCUGUGCCGGAGCUAACGCGUUAAAUAUGCCGCCUGGGGAGUACAGUCGCAAGGCUGAAACUCAAAAGGAAUUGACGGGGGCCCGCACAAGCGG